RNAcentral lists this long non-coding RNA (970 nucleotides) under Medicago truncatula (barrel medic). Its description in RNAcentral is "lncRNA gene35527". Lineage: Eukaryota; Viridiplantae; Streptophyta; Magnoliopsida; Fabales; Fabaceae. The record is from RNAcentral.
UUGAACCUUUGAGAUUAUUGUUUGAAAUAUUGAUGCUGUUGCAUUCUUGUGAUGAUAGUUUAGCCCAAAACCACUCUGGAACAUUAUCUGAAAUUCCAGCCUUCGAAAUAUCAAGAUCCAGCAGGUACUUUUGUGUCUGAAUCCAUUUAGGAAAUGUAAGACCAAGUUUGCUUGAUCUCAAUCCUAUACUGUUCAGUUGAAAAGGUGGGACCCAAUUUUCAGUAAAUCUCAAUGCUAGUGAAUUGUCUGACAAGUCUAAUUCCUUUAACAUUGACAUACCAGAAAAAUGAAAUUCAGAGAUCACACCAUUCAUAGAGUUUGAACUCAUUUGUAGUGUCCUUAGUUUGGUUGGAAAUCGAAUAUCUUCAGAUAUCUUCCCGUUUAGGCUAUUUUCAGAAAUAUCGAAUAUUUCCAAAAAUGAGAAUAUUGAGAGAUCAGGUAGUGUGCCAUUGAUUUUAUUACUGCUUAGAUCUAAUUCUUGGAGUGAGUAUCUAGCACAUCUAGAUAAGUGAUGGAUUAUUACUUGAAGCUCACCACUGAAACUGUUAUUGGACAUUUUCAAUGAUUUCAACUUACAUGCAUUCAUCCAAAAUGAUUUAGGAAUUACCCCUUCUAAAGUGUUUGAUGUGAUGGAUAAAUGUUCCAACUGAUAUGGCAGGCUACUACCCCCAGGGAUCUCUCCACUUAGUUGAUUGGAAGAAAGAUCCAAUGUUUUCAAUGAUGUGAAUGCAGAAAGGUCAGGUAGUGUUCCAAUGAUUCCAUUAGAACUGAGGUCUAACACUUGAAGUGAGUUUCUAACACAACCGCUAGACAAAUUGCGAAGAAUUGUUUGAAGGUCUUCUGUGAAAUUGUUUUGAAUCAGAUUUAAAGAACGUAAGGUGCAUACAUUCAUGAAGGAUUUAAAUGCCACACCCUUCAAUUUAUUGUAUGAUAGGUCAAUCUCCUGAAGCGAGUUCAUCACUGUGCCAUA